GAUGAACGCUGGCGGCGUGCCUAAUACAUGCAAGUCGAGCGAACAGACGAGGAGCUUGCUCCUCUGACGUUAGCGGCGGACGGGUGAGUAACACGUGGAUAACCUACCUAUAAGACUGGGAUAACUUCGGGAAACCGGAGCUAAUACCGGAUAAUAUAUUGAACCGCAUGGUUCAAUAGUGAAAGACGGUUUUGCUGUCACUUAUAGAUGGAUCCGCGCCGCAUUAGCUAGUUGGUAAGGUAACGGCUUACCAAGGCGACGAUGCGUAGCCGACCUGAGAGGGUGAUCGGCCACACUGGAACUGAGACACGGUCCAGACUCCUACGGGAGGCAGCAGUAGGGAAUCUUCCGCAAUGGGCGAAAGCCUGACGGAGCAACGCCGCGUGAGUGAUGAAGGUCUUCGGAUCGUAAAACUCUGUUAUUAGGGAAGAACAAAUGUGUGAGUAACUAUGUACGUCUUGACGGUACCUAAUCAGAAAGCCACGGCUAACUACGUG
RNAcentral lists this ribosomal RNA (497 nucleotides) under uncultured bacterium. RNAcentral's name for it is "partial 16S ribosomal RNA". It matches the Rfam family "Bacterial small subunit ribosomal RNA", at positions 28 to 507 of the family's 1533-position model. The record is from RNAcentral.